Small nuclear RNA from Strongylocentrotus purpuratus (purple sea urchin), 93 nucleotides. Lineage: Eukaryota; Metazoa; Echinodermata; Echinoidea; Camarodonta; Strongylocentrotidae. The record is from RefSeq and is a predicted model, not a curated record.
AGGUUAGCACUCCCCUUGAAAAGGACGAAAUUCAUCUUCGGGUGACAACACACGAAUUGCCACUUACUUUGUGGCAUCUCAGCACGUUUUUUC